AUUGAACGCUGGCGGAAUGCUUUACACAUGCAAGUCGAACGGCAGCACGGGGGCAACCCUGGUGGCGAGUGGCGAACGGGUGAGUAAUACAUCGGAACGUGCCCGGUCGUGGGGGAUAACGUAGCGAAAGUUACGCUAAUACCGCAUACGAUCUGAGGAUGAAAGCGGGGGACCUUCGGGCCUCGCGCGAUCGGAGCGGCCGAUGUCAGAUUAGGUAGUUGGUGGGGUAAAGGCCUACCAAGCCGACGAUCUGUAGCUGGUCUGAGAGGACGACCAGCCACACUGGGACUGAGACAAGGCCCAGACUCCUACGGGAGGCAGCAGUGGGGAAUUUUGGACAAUGGGCGCAAGCCUGAUCCAGCCAUUCCGCGUGCAGGACGAAGGCCUUCGGGUUGUAAACUGCUUUUGUAUGGAACGAAAAGGCUCUGGCUAAUACCUGGGGCUCAUGACGGUACCGUAAGAAUAAGCACCGGCUAACUACGUG
This 484-nucleotide ribosomal RNA is filed under the name uncultured bacterium. Its description in RNAcentral is "partial 16S ribosomal RNA". It matches the Rfam family "Bacterial small subunit ribosomal RNA", at positions 30 to 507 of the family's 1533-position model. The record is from RNAcentral.